GGGAUUCACGUGUAAGCAGUGAGGUGGUCAUGUAGGCAAAUCCGCAUGGCAUAACAUUGAGCUGUGAUGCCGAAGCCGAAUGGCGAAGUCAACUGACGUCACGCUUCCAAGAAAAGCUUCUAGGGUUAAUUUAAUAAGUGCCCGUACCGAUAACCGACACAGGUAGGCGAGGAGAGAAUCCUAAGAUGAGCGAGAGAACUCUUGUUAAGGAACUCGGCGAAAUGACCCCGUAACUUCGGGAGAAGGGGUGCUUGUGAAAGCAAGCCGCAGUGAAUAGGCCCAGGCGACUGUUUAUCAAAAACACAGGUCUCUGCUAAACCGCAAGGUGAUGUAUAGGGGCUGACGCCUGCCCGGUGCUGGAAGGUUAAGAGGAGAGGUUAGCGCAAGCGAAGCUUUGAAUUGAAGCCCCAGUAAACGGCGGCCGUAACAAUAACGGUCCUAAGGUAGCGAAAUUCCUUGUCGGGUAAGUUCCGACCCGCACGAAAGGCGUAACGAUCUGGGCGCUGUCUCAACAAGAGACUCGGUGAAAUCAUAGUACCUGUGAAGAUGCAGGUUACCCGCGACAGGACGGAAAGACCCCGUGGAGCUUUACUGUAGCUUGAUAUUGAGCACUGGUGGCACAUGUACAGGAUAGGUAGGAGACGAAGAAACCAGGACGCCAGUCUUGGUGGAGUCGCUGUUGGGAUACUACCCUUGUGUCACUGGGGUUCUAACCCGUGGCCCUUAUCGGGUCAGGGAACAGUGUCAGGUGGGCAGUUUGACUGGGGCGGUCGCCUCCCAAAGAGUAACGGAGGCGCCCAAAGGUUCCCUCAGAAUGGUUGGAAAUCAUUCGAAGAGUGUAAAGGCAGAAGGGAGCUUGACUGCGAGACCUACAAGUCGAGCAGGGACGAAAGUCGGGCUUAGUGAUCCGGCGGUACCGAAUGGAAGGGCCGUCGCUCAACGGAUAAAAGCUACCCCGGGGAUAACAGGCUGAUCUCCCCCAAGAGUUCACAUCGACGAGGAGGUUUGGCACCUCGAUGUCGGCUCAUCGCAUCCUGGGGCUGUAGUCGGUCCCAAGGGUUGGGCUGUUCGCCCAUUAAAGCGGUACGCGAGCUGGGUUCAGAACGUCGUGAGACAGUUCGGUCCCUAUCCGUCGUGGGCGUAGGAAAUUUGAGAGGAGCUGUCCUUAGUACGAGAGGACCGGGAUGGACACACCGCUGGUGUACCAGUUGUUCUGCCAGGAGCAUAGCUGGGUAGCUACGUGUGGACGGGAUAAACGCUGAAAGCAUCUAAGCGUGAAGCCCCCCUCAAGAUGAGAUUUCCCAUUCGAAAGAAGUAAGAUCCCUUGAAGACGACGAGGUUGAUAGGUCAGGAGUGGAAGUGUGGUGACACAUGGAGCGGACUGAUACUAAUCGAUCGAGGACUUAACCGA
RNAcentral lists this ribosomal RNA (1411 nucleotides) under metagenome. RNAcentral's name for it is "bacterial LSU rRNA". It matches the Rfam family "Bacterial large subunit ribosomal RNA", at positions 1501 to 2925 of the family's 2925-position model. The record is from RNAcentral.